UAAACCUUGUAAACCAAGUUUAUAAAUCCCUUCUAAUCCACACACAAAGGCAAUGAGUCGCCACGCAAUAUCUGUGGAAUUAGACCUAUUUUUAAAUUCGCCUUCUUUUUGACCGCAUUCAAUCGAUUGCACAAUAGCUUGAUGCCAACUUUGCAUGGCGAGGUUAUACGCUUUUUGUAUUUCAAUAUCUUGUUCAAUUAAGAGUUCAGCUUCAUUCCAUAAACGUAAGUAGGGCUGAAGCCUGUCUAUAUUUUCUGCACCUAAUAAGAUGAAGAGUCUUUGAAAUUGGCUAGUUGUUUGGAGAGUUUGUUCAAUUUCAUCAAGCUGUUCCAUCAGCUUUAAAAAAGCUUCAGCUUUUAAAUGAGAUGCCGAAGAAAAAUGAUGAUGGACUUGUCCGGUAGAGGUUUGUGCUUCUGUUGCGAUUCGACGUACCGUCAUGGCUGUAAAACCUUCAGCCAAAGCAAUUUGCAUGGCAGCUUGCAGAAUCAUUUCUCUGCGUUGAUCGCGAUUAAGAUAGGCCAUGUUUCUUACACCUGACUGAAUUCGACACAAACUACAUUAAAAUUUAAAGUUGGACAAGUGUCCAAUUGUGUAUAUAAUAACCGCAAUUUGAACACAUGUCUAAGUUUUGGAUAUCGAAGAGCGUUAUGCAAAAAAAAUGGUUAAUCCUCACAAUUAUCGUCCUCAUUUAUUUACCUGUUACGAUUGAUGCAACGGUGAUGCAUGUUGCAACACCAUCUUUAAGUGCAGCAUUGAAUUUAACUGCCAAUCAGCUUUUAUGGAUUAUUGAUAUUUAUUCGCUGAUUAUGGCGGGUUUGAUUUUACCGAUGGGUGCACUCGGUGAUCGUAUUGGCUUUAAAAAAUUAUUAUUUAUUGGAACCGCAGUUUUUGGUGUUGGUUCUUUAGCUGCGGCUUUUUCUCCAACUGCCUAUGCCUUAAUUGCUUCUCGUGCUGUCUUAGGUCUAGGGGCAGCUAUGCUUAUUCCUGCCACUUUAUCAGGUAUCCGUAAUGCUUUUACCGAAGAAAAACAGAGAAAUUUUGCACUUGGUCUUUGGUCUACAGUAGGUGGAGGUGGAGCAGCUUUUGGUCCACUAGUUGGUGGUUUUGUAUUAGAGCAUUUCCACUGGGGAGCUGUAUUCCUCAUUAAUAUCCCGAUCAUUUUAGUGGUUCUAGUUAUGAUCGUGAUGAUCAUUCCUAAACAACAAGAGAAAACUGAUCAGCCAAUUAACUUAGGGCAAGCUUUAGUUUUGGUUGUAGCAAUUUUAAGCCUCAUCUAUUCAAUCAAAUCGGCUAUGUAUAACUUCUCGGUGCUCACGGUUGUGAUGUUUGUGGUGGGUAUAAGCACAUUAAUUCACUUCAUUCGAAGCCAAAAAAGAGCUACGACACCAAUGAUUGAUCUGGAAUUGUUUAAACAUCCUGUGAUUUCUACCAGUAUUGUUAUGGCAGUUGUGUCCAUGAUUGCUUUGGUUGGCUUUGAAUUAUUACUGUCUCAAGAGUUGCAGUUUGUACACGGGUUUUCUCCAUUACAGGCGGCGAUGUUUAUUAUUCCAUUUAUGAUUGCAAUUAGUUUAGGUGGUCCAUUAGCAGGUAUUUGUUUAAAUAAAUGGGGUUUACGUAGAGUAUCGAGCCUAGGUAUUUUAGUGAGCGCGCUCAGUUUAUGGGGGCUUGCUCAGCUCAACUUUUCAACCGACCACUUUUUAGCAUGGACGUGUAUGGUCUUUUUGGGCUUUAGUAUUGAGAUUGCCUUACUGGCCUCAACUGCUGCCAUUAUGUCAUCUGUGCCCCCUCAAAAGGCGAGUGCAGCAGGUGCUAUUGAGGGAAUGGCCUAUGAACUUGGCGCUGGUUUGGGCGUUGCUAUAUUUGGGUUAAUGUUGUCUUGGUUUUAUAGCCGCUCAAUUAUUUUGCCAGCCGAGCUUCCGUCAAACUUAAUUGAAAAAGCGAGUAUCUCGAUUGGAGAAACCAUGCAAUUAGCCUCUAAUCUUGAAAAUCCUUUAGGAGGGCAAUUAGUUGUAGUGGCGCAGCAAGCUUUUAGCUAUGCACAUAGUUGGGUACUUACCAUCUCAGCGAUCUGUUUCUUCCUUUUAACUGUAUUUGUCUGGUUUAGUUUUCCGAAGAAAGUAAAUUAAUAUUUUUCACAGUAUUUAAAGUUUCGGUAGAAAACUUUUUCUUCGAAACUUUAAAAUUCACUGAUAGUCCAGACAAAUGAUGUAGUUCGCAGUUUAUCUGUACGGAUAUGAGCUUUAUACGUUCACACUCUUUUAAAAACAAAGUAUGCUUAUGCCUGUAACAAGGAGCAUACAUGUAUCAAGUACUUGCUAGAAAAUACCGUCCACGUAAUUUCAAUGAGUUAGUGGGACAAAACCAUGUUUCUCGUGCAUUAAGUAGUGCAUUGGAACGCGGUCGUCUUCACCAUGCUUAUUUAUUUACAGGAACGCGUGGUGUAGGUAAAACUACAAUUGCACGUAUUUUAGCCAAGUGUUUGAACUGUGAAACAGGUGUGACUUCUACGCCAUGUGAAGUUUGUGCCACUUGUAAGGCGGUAAAUGAAGGCCGUUUUAUUGACCUAAUCGAAAUCGAUGCUGCUUCAAGAACAAAAGUAGAAGAUACGCGUGAACUUUUAGACAACGUUCCUUAUGCACCAACGCAAGGUCGUUUUAAAGUUUAUCUGAUUGAUGAAGUACAUAUGCUCUCUACGCAUUCUUUUAAUGCGUUAUUAAAAACACUAGAAGAACCACCAGAACACGUUAAGUUUUUGUUUGCAACGACAGACCCACAAAAGCUACCGAUUACGGUUAUUUCACGUUGUUUGCAAUUUACUCUAAGACCUUUAGCUGUAGAUGAAAUUACCAAGCACCUCGGUGCUAUUCUUGAAAAAGAACAGAUCGCUGCUGACCAAGAUGCAAUCUGGCAAAUUGCUGAAUCUGCUCAAGGUUCAUUACGUGAUGCAUUAUCUUUAACUGACCAAGCGAUUGCUUAUGGGCAGGGUGCUGUACAUCAUCAAGAUGUUAAAGAAAUGCUUGGCUUGAUUGACCGUACGAUCAUAUAUGAUUUGAUUUUAGCGGUUCAUCAAAACCAACGUGAAAAAGUGAGCCAGUUAUUACUCCAAUUUAGAUAUCAAGCCUUAGAUGUCUCGUUAGUACUGGAUCAGCUCAUUUCAACAUUGCAUGAGUUGGCUUUAUUACAAUAUUUACCAGAGCUCGGCUUAAAGUAUAGUGAAGAAAUUAAUGCCAAAAUUCUUCAGCUUUCUAAACUGAUUUCUGCUCAAGAUUUGCAGCUUUACUACCAAAUCGCAUGUAAAGGCCGUUCAGACUUGCAGCUUGCCGUAACGCAAGAGCAAGGUUUUGAAAUGUGCGUUUUACGAUUAUUGGCAUUCCGUCCUUUAGCACCAAAUGAAAUUUUAGUUUCAGAGCCUGUUCAACAAAAUGGGCAAGCAGAAGUAGGCCUAAAUUCACAAGCUCAAACAGCCCAAGUGAUUGCUCCUGUAAGUGCUGUUCAGCCUGUUGAAGUUAUUAGCCAACCCGCUAUGGUUGAACCUGAACCUGAACCUGAAUGCUGGAGGUAUCAGAAGUGCGAAUGCUGACGUGAGUAACGACAAAACGGGUGAAAAACCCGUUCGCCGAAAGACCAAGGGUUCCAGUCCAACGUUAAUCGGGGCUGGGUGAGUCGACCCCUAAGGCGAGGCCGAAAGGCGUAGUCGAUGGGAAAAUGGUUAAUAUUCCAUUACUUCUGUGUAAUGCGAUGAGAGGACGGAGAAGGCUAAAUCAGCCUGGCGUUGGUUGUCCAGGUGAAAGGAUGUAGGCAUGUAUCUUAGGCAAAUCCGGGGUACUCUAUGCUGAGAUCUGAUAGCAAGCUGUACUUGUACAGCGAAGUGGUUGAUGCCAUGCUUCCAGGAAAAGUCUCUAAGCUUCAGUUACACAGGAAUCGUACCCGAAACCGACACAGGUGGUCAGGUCGAGUAGACCAAGGCGCUUGAGAGAACUCUGCUGAAGGAACUAGGCAAAAUGGUACCGUAACUUCGGGAGAAGGUACGCUGUUGUUGGUGAUGGAACUCGCUUCCUGAGCUGACGACAGCCGCAGAAACCAGGCCGCUGCAACUGUUUAUUAAAAACAUAGCACUCUGCAAACACGAAAGUGGACGUAUAGGGUGUGAUGCCUGCCCGGUGCUGGAAGGUUAAUUGAUGGGGUUAGCGUAAGCGAAGCUCUUGAUCGAAGCCCCAGUAAACGGCGGCCGUAACUAUAACGGUCCUAAGGUAGCGAAAUUCCUUGUCGGGUAAGUUCCGACCUGCACGAAUGGCAUAAUGAUGGCGGCGCUGUCUCCAGCAGAGGCUCAGUGAAAUCGAAAUCGCUGUGAAGAUGCAGUGUACCCGCGGCUAGACGGAAAGACCCCGUGAACCUUUACUGCAGCUUGACACUGAACUUUGACCUUACUUGUGUAGGAUAGGUGGGAGGCUUUGAAGCUGGAACGCUAGUUCCAGUGGAGCCGUCCUUGAAAUACCACCCUGGUAAUGUUGAGGUUCUAACUCUGUCCCGUGAUCCGGGACGAGGACCGUGUCUGGUGGGUAGUUUGACUGGGGCGGUCUCCUCCUAAAGAGUAACGGAGGAGUACGAAGGUGCGCUCAGCGUGGUCGGAAAUCACGCGUAGAGUAUAAAGGCAAAAGCGCGCUUAACUGCGAGACCCACAAGUCGAGCAGGUACGAAAGUAGGUCUUAGUGAUCCGGUGGUUCUGUAUGGAAGGGCCAUCGCUCAACGGAUAAAAGGUACUCUGGGGAUAACAGGCUGAUACCGCCCAAGAGUUCAUAUCGACGGCGGUGUUUGGCACCUCGAUGUCGGCUCAUCUCAUCCUGGGGCUGAAGCAGGUCCCAAGGGUAUGGCUGUUCGCCAUUUAAAGAGGUACGCGAGCUGGGUUUAGAACGUCGUGAGACAGUUCGGUCCCUAUCUACCGUGGGCGCUGGAAAUUUGAGAGGAUCUGCUCCUAGUACGAGAGGACCAGAGUGGACGAACCUCUGGUGUACCGGUUGUGACGCCAGUCGCAUCGCCGGGUAGCUAUGUUCGGAAGGGAUAACCGCUGAAAGCAUCUAAGCGGGAAGCCUACCUCAAGAUAAGAUUUCCCUAGGACUUUAUGUCCUCUAAAGAGCCGUUCGAGACUAGGACGUUGAUAGGUUGGAUGUGGAAGCAUAGUGAUAUGUGAAGCUGACCAAUACUAAUUGCUCGUGAGGCUUGACUAUACAACACCCAAGCAGUUGUAUAUGAAGCAUCAAUCGAUUCUUAAAUAUGCAAGACAACUUGAUUUAGUUAUACCUCUAGCUAAAAUGAACAGAUAAAGUAAGAUUCAAUUCAGCCCAGUCUGUUACAGAUUUGGAAAACGCUUCGGCAUCAAGUAAGACCCAAGCAAGUAUCCAUAAACAGU
RNAcentral lists this ribosomal RNA (5407 nucleotides) under Acinetobacter baumannii AC12. Its description in RNAcentral is "23S ribosomal RNA". The stretch from base 3425 to 5225 matches the Rfam family "Bacterial large subunit ribosomal RNA". Lineage: Bacteria; Pseudomonadati; Pseudomonadota; Gammaproteobacteria; Moraxellales; Moraxellaceae. The record is from RNAcentral.